UCCGGCGUAGCUCAGUGGUAGAGCAAUUGGCUGUUAACCAAUGGGUCACUGGUUCGAAUCCAGUCGCCGGAGCCA
Molecule: transfer RNA, 75 nt
Filed under: Candidatus Saccharimonadota bacterium
Lineage: Bacteria; Candidatus Saccharimonadota
Description: tRNA-Asn
Rfam family: tRNA
About the family: Transfer RNA (tRNA) molecules are approximately 80 nucleotides in length. Their secondary structure includes four short double-helical elements and three loops (D, anti-codon, and T loops). Further hydrogen bonds mediate the characteristic L-shaped molecular structure. tRNAs have two regions of fundamental functional importance: the anti-codon, which is responsible for specific mRNA codon recognition, and the 3' end, to which the tRNAs corresponding amino acid is attached (by aminoacyl-tRNA synthetases). tRNAs cope with the degeneracy of the genetic code in two manners: having more than one tRNA (with a specific anti-codon) for a particular amino acid; and 'wobble' base-pairing, i.e. permitting non-standard base-pairing at the 3rd anti-codon position.
Source: RNAcentral